Long non-coding RNA from Bombus pascuorum, 725 nucleotides. RefSeq lists it as uncharacterized. The transcript has 2 exons. NCBI's taxonomy places the organism in Eukaryota, Metazoa, Arthropoda, Insecta, Hymenoptera, Apidae. The record is from RefSeq and is a predicted model, not a curated record.
UUGUCGCGAAUGGUUACACACGACGACACAUCUCGCGUGACUCUUCGAUAGUAAUACACAGUGGCUCAAAAAGUAUUUCAACACCUGCAAUAGAAUAUUCUCAUGCAUAUACAUAUCAUGUACAUAACCUCGUGAAAAUAUUCCGACACCUGUAGGCACCCUUUAUAAAUUUACAUAUUACGUGUACGUUAGACGAAACAUUGUGAAAUUUCAUUAGCACUGUUAUGAGACUUGUUGGAAAAAUAUCAUUUUAGUAUAUUCCUAGAGAAUUUUGUUAUUAGAGGUUGCCAUGAAGAAGAUGACAUUAUGUGUUAUAAGUUACGAGCAUGAGCGGGUACGAAAUGUGAACAGAUUAGUCGACUAGAGAGCUGUGUGAAGAGAGCGAUGCAACGGCGAGAGUAGAGAAAAAAAAAUAAAGAAAACUGUGUAGUUUACUUCAUAUAUAUAUAUAUCCCAAAAACAUUGUAUAUUUUAUUCGAUUUCAUUUAAUUUCUAUAUGAAACGAGAAAUAUACUACAGUUCAUGGUUAACUGUAUCGUCUAUAUCGGCAUCGACAAAAGUUAAAACUUCUUAUAUCACGCUAUACGAACUUCCCUAAUAUUUUACUUUUAUCACUAUUUAACUGUGUAUGCACUUUCAACCCUAGAAUUUGAUUCUGAAGCAUAUUUCGUUUAUUUAAAAAUUAUAUUUUAAGUAAUGAAGUUAUUAAAAUAAUAUAAAAGUAA